GCCAGAGCACAUUUUGAACAACACCAUGGGAAUUUCGGAUUUUACACAGGUGGUUGGAUGUUACACUCUGGAAAUGGAAGGAAGCAUGUCUUUAUCAUGUCUUCCUUCUUUCACCCCAACUGGUCGCAGCAGAUGGCCCCGCCCCUCCCUGAGCCUGGUUCUGCCGGAGGUUUCUUCCUGUUAAAAGGGAGUUUUUCCUUCCCACUGUCGCCAAAGUGCUUGCUCAUAGGGGGUCAUAUGAUCAUAUGAUUGUUGGGUUUUUCUCUGUAUGUAUUAUUGUGGGGUCUACCUGACAAUAUAAAGCGCCAUGAGGCGACUGCUGUUGUUAUUUG
This is a long non-coding RNA of Oreochromis aureus, 332 nucleotides long. NCBI's taxonomy places the organism in Eukaryota, Metazoa, Chordata, Actinopteri, Cichliformes, Cichlidae. The record is from Ensembl.